GUCGGGUUCUACUAACGGUUAGGUAACGACACUCUCACUGUCGAAAUAAGGGUUCGAUUCCCUUACCCGAUACCA
Molecule: transfer RNA, 75 nt
Filed under: Bacteroidales bacterium
Lineage: Bacteria; Pseudomonadati; Bacteroidota; Bacteroidia; Bacteroidales
Also listed under: 1 other name
Description: tRNA-Glu
Rfam family: tRNA
About the family: Transfer RNA (tRNA) molecules are approximately 80 nucleotides in length. Their secondary structure includes four short double-helical elements and three loops (D, anti-codon, and T loops).
Source: RNAcentral